RNAcentral lists this ribosomal RNA (273 nucleotides) under uncultured bacterium. Its description in RNAcentral is "partial 16S ribosomal RNA". It matches the Rfam family "Bacterial small subunit ribosomal RNA", at positions 524 to 796 of the family's 1533-position model. The record is from RNAcentral.
UACGGAGGGUGCAAGCGUUAUCCGGAUUCACUGGGUUUAAAGGGUGCGUAGGUGGGUUGGUAAGUCCGUGGUGAAAUCUCCGAGCUUAACUCGGAAACUGCCGUGGAUACUAUCAAUCUUGAAUAUCGUGGAGGUAAGCGGAAUAUGUCAUGUAGCGGUGAAAUGCUUAGAUAUGACAUAGAACACCGAUAGCGGAGGCAGCUUACUACGCGAUUAUUGACACUGAGGCACGAAAGCGUGGGGAUCAAACAGGAUUAGAAACCCCAGUAGUCC